CGCGGCCUAUCAGCUUGUUGGUGAGGUAACGGCUCACCAAGGCGACGACGGGUAGCUGGUCUGAGAGGACGAUCAGCCACACUGGAACUGAGACACGGUCCAGACACCUACGGGUGGCAGCAGUCGAGAAUCAUUCACAAUGGACGAAAGUCUGAUGGUGCAACGCCGCGUGGAGGAUGAAGGCCCUAGGGUCGUAAACUCCUGUCAUCAGGGAGUAAGCCUUGGUCGUUAAUAGCUUCCAAGGUUGAUAGUACCUGAAGAGGAAGGGACGGCUAACUUCGUGCCAGCAGCCGCGGUAAUACGAAGGUCCCAAGCGUUGUUCGGAAUCACUGGGCGUAAAGAGUAUGUAGGCGGCAAGGUAAGUCAGAUGUGAAAGCCCGGGGCUCAACCUCGGAACUGCAUCCGAUACUGCUUUGCUUGAGUAAUGGAGGGGUGACUGGAAUUCUCGGUGUAGCAGUGAAAUGCGUAGAUAUCGAGAGGAACACUCGUGGCGAAGGCGAGUCACUGGACAUUUACUGACGCUGAGAUACGAAGGCCAGGGUAGCGAAAGGGAUUAGAUACCCCUGUAGUCCUGGCAGUAAACGGUGCGCGCUUGGUGUGGGAGGAUUCGACCCCUUCCGUGCCGGAGCUAACGCGUUAAGCGCCCCGCCUGGGGAGUACGG
RNAcentral lists this ribosomal RNA (662 nucleotides) under uncultured bacterium. Its description in RNAcentral is "bacterial SSU rRNA". It matches the Rfam family "Bacterial small subunit ribosomal RNA", at positions 232 to 885 of the family's 1533-position model. The record is from RNAcentral.